This 253-nucleotide ribosomal RNA is filed under the name uncultured bacterium. RNAcentral describes it as "partial 16S ribosomal RNA". It matches the Rfam family "Bacterial small subunit ribosomal RNA", at positions 524 to 776 of the family's 1533-position model. The record is from RNAcentral.
UACGGAGGGGGCUAGCGUUGUUCGGAAUCAUUGGGCGUAAAGAGCGUGUAGGCGGCUCGAUAAGUCUGCUGUGAAAGUCCAGGGCUCAACCCUGGAAGGCCGGUGGAAACUGUCGGGCUAGAGUCCGGAAGAGGCGAGUGGAAUUCCCGGUGUAGCGGUGAAAUGCGCAGAUAUCGGGAGGAACACCAAUGGCGAAGGCAGCUCGCUGGGACGGUACUGACGCUGAGACGCGAAAGCGUGGGGAGCAAACAGG